This 738-nucleotide ribosomal RNA is filed under the name Bryobilimbia diapensiae. RNAcentral describes it as "eukaryotic LSU rRNA". It matches the Rfam family "Eukaryotic large subunit ribosomal RNA", at positions 175 to 937 of the family's 3401-position model. Lineage: Eukaryota; Fungi; Ascomycota; Lecanoromycetes; Lecideales; Lecideaceae. The record is from RNAcentral.
GCCGGUCUAAGUCCCUUGGAACAGGGCGUCAUAGAGGGUGAGAAUCCCGUAUGUGACCGGUGACCAACCCCAUGUGAAACCCCUUCGACGAGUCGAGUUGUUUGGGAAUGCAGCUCAAAAUGGGUGGUAAAUUUCAUCUAAAGCUAAAUACCGGCCAGAGACCGAUAGCGCACAAGUAGAGUGAUCGAAAGAUGAAAAGCACUUUGGAAAGAGAGUCAAACAGUACGUGAAAUUGUUGAAAGGGAAGCGCUUGCGACCAGACCUGCCCGCGGGCGAUCAACCGUUAUUCUUAGCGGUGCACUCGCCCGCGAUCAGGCCAGCAUCGGUUUGGGCGGCUGGAUAAAGGCCUUGGGAACGUAGCUCCCCCCGGGGAGUCUUAUAGCCCAUGGUGCAAUGCGGCCAGCCCGGACCGAGGACCGCGCUUCGGCUAGGAUGCUGGCGUAAUGGUCGUAAGCGACCCGUCUUGAAACACGGACCAAGGAGUCUAACAUCUAUGCGAGUGUUUGGGUGUCAAACCCAUGCGCGGAAUGAAAGUGAACGGAGGUGGGAACCGGCGCACCAUCGACCGAUCCAGAUGUCUUCGGAUGGAUUUGAGUAUGAGCAUAGCUGUUGGGACCCGAAAGAUGGUGAACUAUGCCUGAAUAGGGUGAAGCCAGAGGAAACUCUGGUGGAGGCUCGCAGCGGUUCUGACGUGCAAAUCGAUCGUCAAAUUUGGGUAUAGGGGCGAAAGACUAAUCG